CCCACGGCUCACGCCGUGGGCUGCGCUGUUCCGCCGCUUCGCGGCU
RNAcentral lists this small RNA (46 nucleotides) under Candidatus Sulfotelmatobacter kueseliae. RNAcentral describes it as "Acido-Lenti-1". It matches the Rfam family "Acido-Lenti-1 RNA". Lineage: Bacteria; Pseudomonadati; Acidobacteriota; Terriglobia; Terriglobales; Candidatus Korobacteraceae. The record is from RNAcentral.